Molecule: ribosomal RNA, 503 nt
Filed under: uncultured bacterium
Lineage: Bacteria
Description: bacterial SSU rRNA
Rfam family: Bacterial small subunit ribosomal RNA
Source: RNAcentral
GACGACGCUGGCGGCGUGCCUAAUACAUGCAAGUCGAGCGGGGAUUAUGCUUGAUCGCUUCGGUGAGACGGCAUAUAUCCUAGCGGCGGACGGGUGAGUAACGCGUGGGUAAUCUACCUCGUAGUUCGGGAUAACAGGCCGAAAGGCUUGCUAAUACCGGAUGAGUUCAUGCUUAUGCAUAUAGGCAUGAAGAAAGGGCUAGCCCGCUAUGAGAUGAGCCCGCGUCCCAUUAGCUUGUUGGUGGGGUAACGGCCUACCAAGGCAACGAUGGGUAGCCGGCCUGAGAGGGUGUACGGCCACACUGGGACUGAGACACGGCCCAGACUCCUACGGGGGGCAGCAGUAGGGAAUUUUGGACAAUGGGGGAAACCCUGAUCCAGCCAUGCCGCGUGCAGGAUGAAGGCCUUCGGGUUGUAAACUGCUUUUGUACGGAACGAAAAGGUCCUUUCUAAUAAAGAGGGCUCAUGACGGUACCGUAAGAAUAAGCACCGGCUAACUACGUG